GUAAGGAAUAUUGGACAAUGGUCGAAAGACUGAUCCAGCCAUGCCGCGUGAAGGAUGAAGGCCCUAUGGGUUGUAAACUUCUUUUGUAUGGGAAAAAACCUCUCUACGUGUAGAGAGCUGAUUGUACCAUAAGAAUAAGGAUCGGCUAACUCCGUGCCAGCAGCCGCGGUAAUACGGAGGAUCCAAGCGUUAUCCGGAUUCAUUGGGUUUAAAGGGUGCGUAGGCGGAAUGAUAAGUCAGUGGUGAAAGCCUGCAGCUUAACUGCAGAACUGCCAUUGAUACUGUCAAUCUUGAGUACAUUUGAUGUGGGCGGAAUGUGUCAUGUAGCGGUGAAAUGCUUAGAUAUGACACAGAACACCGAUUGCGAAGGCAGCUCACAAAACUGUAACUGACGCUGAGGCACGAAAGCGUGGGUAUCAAACAGGAUUAGAUACCCGUGUAGUCC
RNAcentral lists this ribosomal RNA (445 nucleotides) under uncultured bacterium. RNAcentral's name for it is "bacterial SSU rRNA". It matches the Rfam family "Bacterial small subunit ribosomal RNA", at positions 354 to 796 of the family's 1533-position model. The record is from RNAcentral.